GGGGACAUAGCUCAGCUGGGAGAGCAACAGACUGAAGUGAAACAGCUUCAACUUUCAUCAAUUGUGAUUUUCUGGAGGUCCCCAGUUCGAUCCUGGGUGUCCCCA
Hymenopellis radicata is the source of this 105-nucleotide non-coding RNA. The record is from the annotation of a GenBank genome assembly. Lineage: Eukaryota; Fungi; Basidiomycota; Agaricomycetes; Agaricales; Physalacriaceae.